Molecule: transfer RNA, 69 nt
Filed under: Cordylochernes scorpioides
Lineage: Eukaryota; Metazoa; Arthropoda; Arachnida; Pseudoscorpiones; Chernetidae
Description: tRNA-His
Rfam family: tRNA
About the family: Transfer RNA (tRNA) molecules are approximately 80 nucleotides in length.
Source: RNAcentral
GCCGUGAUCGUCUAGUGGUUAGGACAUUGCGUUGUGGCCGCAAUAAAGGUUCGAAUCCUGGUCACGGCA